Molecule: ribosomal RNA, 497 nt
Filed under: uncultured bacterium
Lineage: Bacteria
Description: partial 16S ribosomal RNA
Rfam family: Bacterial small subunit ribosomal RNA
Source: RNAcentral
GAUGAACGCGGGCGGCGUGCCUAAUACAUGCAAGUCGAGCGAACGGACGAGAAGCUUGCUUCUCUGAUGUUAGCGGCGGACGGGUGAGUAACACGUGGAUAACCUACCUAUAAGACUGGGAUAACUUCGGGAAACCGGAGCUAAUACCGGAUGAUAUUUUGAACCGCAUGGUUCAAAAGUGAAAGACGGUCUUGCUGUCACCUAUAGAUGGAUCCGCGCUGCAUUAGCUAGUUGGUAAGGUAACGGCUUACCAAGGCAACGAUGCAUAGCCGACCUGAGAGGGUGAUCGGCCACACUGGAACUGAGACACGGUCCAGACUCCUACGGGAGGCAGCAGUAGGGAAUCUUCCGCAAUGGGCGAAAGCCUGACGGAGCAACGCCGCGUGAGUGAUGAAGGUCUUCGGAUCGUAAAACUCUGUUAUUAGGGAAGAACAUAUGUGUAAGUAACUGUGCACAUCUUGACGGUACCUAAUCAGAAAGCCACGGCUAACUACGUG